GAAAGGUAAAAAAAAAAUUAAAAAUAGGGGCAUGUGAAAUUUGGCCUUGGUGGGGACAACAGGACCGUCUUCAGCAGCUUGCUUUCUGCAUCAACUAAUCCCAUGCUGUUUGUAUUCUAACUUAAUAACAUUGUACAAAUGGUUUUUGUAUAUGCAGAUAAAGUUUUUCAUAAAGUGUGUGUUUCUAACAGGGUAAGAAUCGGCAGUAAAAAUCAGGCACGUGCUAGCAGCUAUUCCUGAGGAAAAGAGAAGCCCUUCCCUUGGCUCUGUGUACAGGCCUUUGGUUUAGAAUUAAUCUCACUGGAAAACUAGAGGCUCCUUGAGAAUUUUAUUGCUUUCUUCUCCCUGGUUAGUUUGAAAUUAUUAGGACAGCACCAAAGGUAGUAGGGCAUACCUCUGUUUUAACCGGGGAGCCUUCUUGCUUGGACAGCACCACUGCUUUAACCUCUAUUAACUGGAAAAUACAGUUAGCAGUAAUGAGCUACUGCGGAGUGUGUAAGGUGUCAAAAGUGUUUCCUGGAAAUCAGUGAAACAAAUUUAUAUGUGAAAGUUAAGAGGAGGGUGAAUUUAAAGGUAAUGAAAAAUAUACUUAAGCAAAUUAGAGAGAAAUA
RNAcentral lists this long non-coding RNA (611 nucleotides) under Bos taurus (domestic cattle). Its description in RNAcentral is "long non-coding RNA NONBTAT009347". Lineage: Eukaryota; Metazoa; Chordata; Mammalia; Artiodactyla; Bovidae. The record is from RNAcentral.